This 258-nucleotide ribosomal RNA is filed under the name uncultured bacterium. RNAcentral's name for it is "partial 16S ribosomal RNA". It matches the Rfam family "Bacterial small subunit ribosomal RNA", at positions 524 to 776 of the family's 1533-position model. The record is from RNAcentral.
UACGUAGGGGGCGAGCGUUAUCCGGAUUUACUGGGCGUAAAGCGCGUUAAGGCGGUUGGCAAAGUUGGUUGUGAAAUCUCAGGGCUCAACCCUGAAAUUGCGACCAAUACUGGUCGACUAGAGUGUGAGAGAGGAAGGUGGAAUUCCCGGUGUAGUGGUGAAAUGCGUAGAGAUCCGGAGGAACACCGACGGCGUAGGCAGCGCCCUGGCUGUGAAUAAAGCUGACACUGAGGCACGAAAGCUGGGGGAGCAAACAGG